RNAcentral lists this unclassified non-coding RNA (275 nucleotides) under Hevea brasiliensis (rubber tree). The record is from RNAcentral. Lineage: Eukaryota; Viridiplantae; Streptophyta; Magnoliopsida; Malpighiales; Euphorbiaceae.
UGGAGACAUAGAGUGGAGAAUUAUUGGAAUCUCCUGAGUCCAAAGAUUCAAUCAGACACCCUGAGGAACUUGAUGGACAUGAAAGCAAACUUGGGUUCAUUUGCAGCUGCCCUUAAAGACAAGGAUGUUUGGGUGAUGAAUGUUGUGCCUGAAGAUGGACCAAACACACUGAAAGUGAUAUAUGACAGAGGCCUGAUUGGCACUGUACAUAACUGGUGCGAAGCCUAUUCAACAUAUCCUCGGACCUAUGAUUUGCUCCAUGCUUGGACUGUCUU